AUUGAACGCUGGCGGCGUGCCUAACACAUGCAAGUCGAGCGGUAACAGGUGUAGCAAUACAUGCUGACGAGCGGCGAACGGGUGAGUAAUGCUUCGGAAUCUACCCAAUGGUGGGGAAUAACCAGCCGAAAGGUUGGCUAAUACCGCAUACGUCCCACGGGAGAAAGCAGGGGACCGCAAGACCUUGCGCCAAUGGAUGAGCCGAAGUCGGAUUAGCUAGUUGGUAGGGAACGGCCUACCAAGGCGACGAUCCGUAGCUGGUCUGAGAGGACGACCAGCCACACUGGGACUGAGACACGGCCCAGACUCCUACGGGAGGCAGCAGUGGGGAAUAUUGGACAAUGGGGGAAAACCCUGAUCCAGCGACGCCGCGUGUGUGAAGAAGGCCUGC
Molecule: ribosomal RNA, 391 nt
Filed under: uncultured bacterium
Lineage: Bacteria
Description: bacterial SSU rRNA
Rfam family: Bacterial small subunit ribosomal RNA
Source: RNAcentral